UACGGAAGGCAGCAGUGGGGAAUAUUGCACAAUGGGCGAAAGCCUGAUGCAGCUAUGCCGCGUGUAUGAAGAAGGCCUUAGGGUUGUAAAGUACUUUCAUCGGGGAGGAAAAACAAAACUAAUAAUUUUAUUUCUUGACGUUACCCGAAAAAGAAGCACCGGCUAACUCCGUGCCAGCAGCCGCGGUAAUACGGAGGGUGCUAGCGUUAAUCAGAAUUACUGGGCGUAAAGAGCACGUAGGUGGUUUUUUUAAGUCAGAUGUGAAAUCCCUGGGCUUAACCUAGGAACUGCAUUUUGAAACUGAAAUAUUUAGAGUAUCGUAGAGGGAGGUAGAAUUCUAGGUGUAGCGGUGAAAUGCGUAGAUAUCUGGAGGAAUACCUGUGGCGAAAGCGGCCUCCUAAACGAAUACUGACACUGAGGUGCGGAAAGCGUGGGGAGGCAAACAGGGAUUAGAUACCCGU
This 461-nucleotide ribosomal RNA is filed under the name uncultured bacterium. RNAcentral describes it as "bacterial SSU rRNA". It matches the Rfam family "Bacterial small subunit ribosomal RNA", at positions 340 to 789 of the family's 1533-position model. The record is from RNAcentral.